UGUCUGAGAGAUUCUGUUACUCCAUAUCCUCACCAGCAUUUGGUGUUGUCAGUGUUCCAGAUUUUGGCCAUUCUAACAGGAUUCUAUCGAACUAUCCUCAAGUACAGAGAUUCUUUCCUCAGCAGUCCAGUCUACUAAUAAGCCCAUCAAAGUGAAUACUGCUGCCUGCCACCUGCUGCACAGAGCGGGGUGUUGCUCCAGGACGUUGCUUCAGACAUUGGUAAAGAUUAGCCUGAAGAGCUCAACCACCACAUCAGCUGGAAACUGAGGGAUGAUGUUGACCUUUUCUGACCCUCGUGACUUCAGUCAACUAAAGCUCGGACUCUGUCAGACAGCCCAAGCCCCUCCAUGAAUAUGCAUGGCCCUUAGCUUAACACUUCCCCAGUUCUGCUGUUUGGGGUGACACUGCUUUGGGAAAGAGCCCCAGUGUUCUCCUUACUGGCUGCAAGUGAUAAAUCCUUCUUCCUCCCGAUCUUUGGCUUGGUUGUCUUUUAGCUCGACACCCACCAAAAGGGGAACCCUGUUUUGGGGUAACAGUUUUUUCUUGAUAGCCAAACACAAUGUACCAGUAAAAGAAAGUGCUGUAAAUAGGCCUUUAGUAAUGUGGUGGUGAGGUGUGAGCGGAGGGAAAGCAUUCUGUAGUCCUCUGUAGGUCUGUCCUUCAGUCAGCCUGUGCCUCUGUACUGUGAAUUUCACGAGUGUUUCUCCCCCGCUUGUGUGGAGAGGAUGGCUAGAAGGGGGCUGGAGUUGGGUAAUUCUCUUCUUCCACAUGCAAGGCUAGAGUUGGGUCUCUCCCUUCCUGUCAGUUAGGCUCUGACAAUACCCCAGCAGCUUAGGCUCUGGCUAACUAGCUUCCCCUCAGGGCAGACUUUGUUAAGAAGGACAGAAUGCUCUGGAAUAUUUCAAAAUGGUUUCUUUUCUCACACCUGUGCGGGGGAAGGCUGAGGGAAUUCUUCUCACACGUUUAUUACAGGAGCUCCUGGAGGUAAAUUUCACAACAUUGUGCAGGCGCCCUAUAACUGGGUCCCCUGGAGUUUUUAACUCU
This is a long non-coding RNA of Physeter macrocephalus (sperm whale), 1045 nucleotides long. RefSeq lists it as uncharacterized. Lineage: Eukaryota; Metazoa; Chordata; Mammalia; Artiodactyla; Physeteridae. The record is from RefSeq and is a predicted model, not a curated record. The transcript has 4 exons.